RNAcentral lists this unclassified non-coding RNA (497 nucleotides) under Hevea brasiliensis (rubber tree). Lineage: Eukaryota; Viridiplantae; Streptophyta; Magnoliopsida; Malpighiales; Euphorbiaceae. The record is from RNAcentral.
AACAACAUAUGGAUCUGUUUUACCUAAUAAACAGGGCAUAUGAAAGGCAGAAAAGUAUAAGAGAACCAAGAGACCAUAUUCACUGGUGAUCAAUGUUUUAUAUGUUCUUUACUUCUGUUAUGAAAAUGGACAUUGAGUGUCUGACAAUGCUGAAGUCAGGGAAAGGGAAGACAAUAUAUAUUGUAUGUGUGUCAUAAAUUUACCACGUCAAAAAUGUAUCAUAUCAAUGCAAAAGUGCUGAAGUAAAAGAACACUCAAAUAUUUAUGACUCAAUUAAAACACGAACACGCAAUAGCCUGCAUUCUUCCUUCCGAGGGAGAAAGUCAAAGGGAAAAAAACACUCUUGUCUAUGUUUGUUGCACCAAUUGGACUCUAGAAAUAUAUACUAUUGCCCAACCCAAUCCUUUCUUUCUUUUUCUGUCUCUUCACUUCGUAUGGGACAAGAAUAAUAAAACUAUACAUUAAAAAAAAAAAAUACUCGAUAAAAGAACAUAAAU